GACGAACGCUGGCGGCGUGCUUAACACAUGCAAGUCGAACGGAAAGGCCCUGCUUUUGUGGGGUGCUCGAGUGGCGAACGGGUGAGUAACACGUGAGUAACCUGCCCUUGACUUUGGGAUAACUUCAGGAAACUGGGGCUAAUACCGGAUAGGAGCUCCUGCUGCAUGGUGGGGGUUGGAAAGUUUCGGCGGUUGGGGAUGGAAUCGCGGCUUAUCAGCUUGUUGGGGGGGUAGUGGCUUACCAAGGCUUUGACGGGUAGCCGGCCUGAGAGGGUGACCGGCCACAUUGGGACUGAGAUACGGCCCAGACGCCUACGGGAGGCAGCAGUGGGGAAUAUUGCACAAUGGGCGGAAGCCUGAUGCAGCAACGCCGCGUGCGGGAUGACGGCCUUCGGGUUGUAAACCGCUUUCGCCGGUGACGAAGCGUGAGUGACGGUAAUGGGUAAAGAAGCACCGGCUAACUACGUG
RNAcentral lists this ribosomal RNA (468 nucleotides) under uncultured bacterium. Its description in RNAcentral is "partial 16S ribosomal RNA". It matches the Rfam family "Bacterial small subunit ribosomal RNA", at positions 28 to 507 of the family's 1533-position model. The record is from RNAcentral.